This 403-nucleotide ribosomal RNA is filed under the name uncultured bacterium. Its description in RNAcentral is "bacterial SSU rRNA". It matches the Rfam family "Bacterial small subunit ribosomal RNA", at positions 975 to 1375 of the family's 1533-position model. The record is from RNAcentral.
CAGCUCUUGACAUGUCACGUAUGAUUUCCAGAGAUGGAUUUCUUCAGUUCGGCUGGCGUGAACACAGGUGCUGCAUGGCUGUCGUCAGCUCGUGUCGUGAGAUGUUGGGUUAAGUCCCGCAACGAGCGCAACCCUCGCCCCUAGUUGCCAUCAUUAAGUUGGGCACUCUAGAGGGACUGCCGGUGAUAAGCCGAGAGGAAGGUGGGGAUGACGUCAAGUCCUCAUGGCCCUUACGGGCUGGGCUACACACGUGCUACAAUGGCGGUGACAGUGGGCAGCUACUUCGCGAGGAGAAGCUAAUCCCAAAAAGCCGUCUCAGUUCGGAUUGCACUCUGCAACUCGAGUGCAUGAAGUUGGAAUCGCUAGUAAUCGUGGAUCAGCAUGCCACGGUGAAUACGUUCCC